AUAGGAAUCACAUGAGGACCUUAUUAAACUGCAGAUUCUGGUUCAGGAGGUCUGGGGGUGGGCCUGCAGGUCUAGCAAGUUCCCAGGUGCUGCUGCU
Molecule: microRNA precursor, 97 nt
Filed under: Marmota monax (woodchuck)
Lineage: Eukaryota; Metazoa; Chordata; Mammalia; Rodentia; Sciuridae
Source: RNAcentral